GUGCUUCAGCUGCAUAUAUAUGAAAAUUGCAACUAUACAGAAAUUAGCAUGGCCCCUGUGCAAGGACAGCAUGCAAAUUUGUGAAGUGACCCAUAUUUAA
RNAcentral lists this small nuclear RNA (100 nucleotides) under Nannospalax galili (Upper Galilee mountains blind mole rat). The record is from RNAcentral. Lineage: Eukaryota; Metazoa; Chordata; Mammalia; Rodentia; Spalacidae.